Molecule: ribosomal RNA, 371 nt
Filed under: uncultured bacterium
Lineage: Bacteria
Description: partial 16S ribosomal RNA
Rfam family: Bacterial small subunit ribosomal RNA
Source: RNAcentral
CCUACGGGCGGCAGCAGUGGGGAAUAUUGGGCAAUGGGCGCAAGCCUGACCCAGCAACGCCGCGUGAGGGAAGAAGGCUUUCGGGUUGUAAACUUCUUUUCUCAGGGACGAAGCCAGUGACUGUACCUGAGGAAUAAGCCACUGCUAACUACGUACCAGCAGCCGCGGUAAUACGUAGGUGGCAAGCGUUAUCCGGGUUUACUGGGUGUAAAGGGCGUGUAGGCGGGGACGCAAGUCAGAUGUGAAAACCACGGGCUCAACCUGUGGCCUGCAUUUGAAACUGUGUUUCUUGAGUGCGGGAGAGGAAGACGGAAUUCCUGGUGUAGCGGUGAAAUGCGUAGAUAUUAGGAGGAACACCAGUGGCGAAGGCG